GGGAAUAUUAGCUCUGCCUUAGCUACAAAAUGCAAUCUAACAAAGUACUUAGCUUAAGAGUUAUUCAAGUAAGGCACAGCUUACUUGAAACAGGAUACAACCUUAAAUAACGGGUAAACGAUAAACCUAUUGCCUAAGUAGGCCUAAAAGCAGCCACCUUUAAAAAAGCGUCAAAGCUUAGUCACUUCAUGCCUCAAAUUCCUAUUUAAUAUCUGAACCCUCUACCCCUAUCAAGUAAUUUUAUACUUCUAUAAAAGAUAUUAUGCUAGAACUAGUAACAAGAAAAUGCCUUCUCCUAAAUGUAAGCAUAAACCAGAAUGGACACCCCACUGGUAAUCAACGUAAAUGCACCUUUUAUAGCAACGCUAACAAGAAAAACCUAUUAACUUAAACGUUAACCUAACACUAGAACAUUCCAGGAAAGAUUAAAAGAGAAAGAAGGAACUCGGCAAAAUUUAGCCCCGCCUGUUUACCAAAAACAUCGCCUCUUGAAAAAUAUAAGAGGUCCAGCCCUGCCCAGUGACAAAGUUCAACGGCCGCGGUACCCUAACCGCGCGAAAGUAGCAUAAUCACUUGUUCUUUAAAUAGGGACUAGUAUCAAUGGCAUCACGAGGGCUGCACUGUCUCCUUUCUCCAAUCAGUGAAACUGAUCUCCCCGUGAAGAAGCGGGGAUUUUGAUAUAAGACGAGAAGACCCCAUGGAGCUUCAAGCAACGAAUUUACCUUUAACUCGUAUUUCUACUAAUUUCAAAAGCCUAAAUUCUAGCUUUUGGUUGGGGGGACCGCGGAGUAUAACCCAACCUCCGCAACUAACGGGCUUUGCCCUAAUCCAUGAGCCACACCUCUAAGAAUCAAUAAAUUGAUGCCUUUGACCCGAAAACUCGAUCAAUGGACCAAGUUACCCUGGGGAUAACAGCGCGAUCUACUUUGAGAGCCCCUAUCGACAAGUAGGCUUACGACCUCGAUGUUGGAUCAGGGUAUCCCAGUGGUGCAGCCGCUACUAAAGGUUCGUUUGUUCAACGAUUAAAACCCUACGUGAUCUGAGUUAAAAACCGGAGAGUGAUUACGCUACCUUUGCACCGGUCAGAGA
RNAcentral lists this ribosomal RNA (1089 nucleotides) under Hylarana taipehensis (Taipei frog). RNAcentral's name for it is "partial large subunit ribosomal RNA". It matches the Rfam family "Bacterial large subunit ribosomal RNA", at positions 923 to 2657 of the family's 2925-position model. Lineage: Eukaryota; Metazoa; Chordata; Amphibia; Anura; Ranidae. The record is from RNAcentral.